This 794-nucleotide ribosomal RNA is filed under the name Stygocapitella sp. 320_15. Its description in RNAcentral is "partial large subunit ribosomal RNA". Lineage: Eukaryota; Metazoa; Annelida; Polychaeta; Parergodrilidae. The record is from RNAcentral.
CAGUUAACAAGACUUAUUAUAUAAUAAACCCCGAAAAAUAAUACAACUACUUAUACGACACAAAAAUUAUAAUUUAAUAAGUAAUAGCUACAUACUAUACUAUUAUUUAUAAUUGGCUAGGUUAACUAUUACCUAUAACAUUCUGGAAAAGCAUAAUGCCAUCUUCUUUCUAAUUUUAAUCUAAUACACUUAAGACUUAAAUUAUCAAAUUAAUUUGUCAUAAAUAAUAUAUUUCUCUAGAAAGUAAUCUCACCUAUCACAACAUAUAAAAUUAUACUCUGUUAAAAUUAGUAAAUUAUAAACACUCUAUCUUAUAACUCGACCCUCUUUAAGGAGACUGUUUAACAAAAACAUAGCCUAUAACUUAACUUUAGGUACAACCCUGCCCUCUGAAAUUUUAACAGCCGCGGUAUCCUAACCGUGCUAAGGUAGCAUAAUCAUUUGCCUAUUAAUUAUAGGCUAGCAUGAACGGGAUCACUCACUUAAAUUUAUUUUCACUACAAUUAAAAUUAAACUUUAAGUUAAAAUACUAAAUUUUUAAGAAAGACAAAAAGACCCUGAAAACUAUUAGAAGAUAAUUAGUUGGGGCAACUAUAGACCAUAAACAGCGUCUAUUAAAAUUCGAAUUUUAAAAUUCAAAGCACACAGUUACUUCAGGGAUAACAGACUAAUUGUAUUAUUUAGACCUAAUAAAUAAUAAAGAUUGGCACCUCGAUGUUGGCUUAUAAUUCCUUCAUAUAGUAACAUAUAUUGAUGGCAGCUUGUUCAUCUGAUAAAUAUUUACUGCGAGUUUC